RNAcentral lists this ribosomal RNA (458 nucleotides) under uncultured bacterium. Its description in RNAcentral is "partial 16S ribosomal RNA". It matches the Rfam family "Bacterial small subunit ribosomal RNA", at positions 29 to 522 of the family's 1533-position model. The record is from RNAcentral.
AACGAACGCUGGCGGCAGGCCUAACACAUGCAAGUCGAACGAGAAGCCACCUUCGUGUGGUGGACAGUGGCAGACGGGUGAGUAACGCGUGGGAACGUGCCUUUCGGUUCGGGAUAACCCAGGGAAACUUGGGCUAAUACCGGAUACGCCCUUCGGGGGAAGGAUUCAUUGCCGAAAGAUCGGCCCGCGUCGGAUUAGCUAGUUGGUAGGGUAAUGGCCUACCAAGGCGACGAGCCGUAGCUGGUCUGAGAGGAUGACCAGCCACACUGGGACUGAGACACGGCCCAGACUCCUACGGGAGGCAGCAGUGGGGAAUAUUGGACAAUGGGCGAAAGCCUGAUCCAGCCAUGCCGCGUGGGUGAAGAAGGCCUUAGGGUUGUAAACCCCUUUCAGCGGGGAAGAUAAUGACGGUACCCGCAGAAGAAGUCCCGGCUAACUCCGUGCCAGCCGCCGUGUAA